Non-coding RNA from Rhodotorula diobovata, 103 nucleotides. The record is from the annotation of a GenBank genome assembly. Lineage: Eukaryota; Fungi; Basidiomycota; Microbotryomycetes; Sporidiobolales; Sporidiobolaceae.
GUCUUCGUAGCUCAGUUGGUCAGAGCGUCCGACUGUUAAAUAUUGCACUUAGUAUUGCACAGUCGCCAUCGGGAGGUCGACAGUUCAAACCUGUCCGAGGACG